RNAcentral lists this ribosomal RNA (429 nucleotides) under Chloroflexota bacterium. RNAcentral's name for it is "Chloroflexi bacterium partial 16S ribosomal RNA". It matches the Rfam family "Bacterial small subunit ribosomal RNA", at positions 355 to 776 of the family's 1533-position model. The record is from RNAcentral. Lineage: Bacteria; Bacillati; Chloroflexota.
UGGGGAAUAUUGCACAAUGGGCGCAAGCCUGAUGCAGCCAUGCCGCGUGUGUGAAGAAGGCCUUCGGGUUGUAAAGCACUUUCAGCGGGGAGGAAGGCGGUGAGGUUAAUAACCUCAUCGAUUGACGUUACCCGCAGAAGAAGCACCGGCUAACUCCGUGCCAGCAGCCGCGGUAAUACGGAGGGUGCAAGCGUUAAUCGGAAUUACUGGGCGUAAAGCGCACGCAGGCGGUCUGUCACGUCGGAUGUGAAAUCCCCGGGCUCAACCUGGGAACUGCAUUGGAAACUGGCAGGCUAGAGUCUUGUAGAGGGGGGUAGAAUUCCAGGUGUAGCGGUGAAAUGCGUAGAGAUCUAGAGGAAUACCGGUGGCGAAGGCGGCCCCCUGGACAAAGACUGACGCUCAGGUGCGAAAGCGUGGGGAGCAAACAGG